Molecule: ribosomal RNA, 1346 nt
Filed under: uncultured bacterium
Lineage: Bacteria
Description: partial 16S ribosomal RNA
Rfam family: Bacterial small subunit ribosomal RNA
Source: RNAcentral
GACGAACGCUGGCGGCGUGCUUAACACAUGCAAGUCGAACGGAAAGGCCCUGCUUUUGUGGGGUGCUCGAGUGGCGAACGGGUGAGUAACACGUGAGUAACCUGCCCUUGACUUUGGGAUAACUUCAGGAAACUGGGGCUAAUACCGGAUAGGAGCUCCUGCUGCAUGGUGGGGGUUGGAAAGUUUCGGCGGUUGGGGAUGGACUCGCGGCUUAUCAGCUUGUUGGUGGGGUAGUGGCUUACCAAGGCUUUGACGGGUAGCCGGCCUGAGAGGGUGACCGGCCACAUUGGGACUGAGAUACGGCCCAGACUCCUACGGGAGGCAGCAGUGGGGAAUAUUGCACAAUGGGCGGAAGCCUGAUGCAGCAACGCCGCGUGCGGGAUGACGGCCUUCGGGUUGUAAACCGCUUUCGCCUGUGACGAAGCGUGAGUGACGGUAAUGGGUAAAGAAGCACCGGCUAACUACGUGCCAGCAGCCGCGGUGAUACGUAGGGUGCGAGCGUUGUCCGGAUUUAUUGGGCGUAAAGGGCUCGUAGGUGGUUGAUCGCGUCGGAAGUGUAAUCUUGGGGCUUAACCCUGAGCGUGCUUUCGAUACGGGUUGACUUGAGGAAGGUAGGGGAGAAUGGAAUUCCUGGUGGAGCGGUGGAAUGCGCAGAUAUCAGGAGGAACACCAGUGGCGAAGGCGGUUCUCUGGGCCUUUCCUGACGCUGAGGAGCGAAAGCGUGGGGAGCGAACAGGCUUAGAUACCCUGGUAGUCCACGCUGUAAACGGUGGGUACUAGGUGUGGGGUCCAUUCCACGGGUUCCGUGCCGUAGCUAACGCUUUAAGUACCCCGCCUGGGGAGUACGGCCGCAAGGCUAAAACUCAAAGGAAUUGACGGGGCCCCGCACAAGCGGCGGAGCAUGCGGAUUAAUUCGAUGCAACGCGUAGAACCUUACCUGGGUUUGACAUGGAUCGGGAGUGCUCAGAGAUGGGUGUGCCUCUUUUGGGGUCGGUUCACAGGUGGUGCAUGCCUGUCGUCAGCUCGUGUCGUGAGAUGUUGGGUUAAGUCCCGCAACGAGCGCAACCCUUGUUCACUGUUGCCAGCACGUUAUGGUGGGGACUCAGUGGAGACCGCCGGGGUCAACUCGGAGGAAGGUGGGGAUGACGUCAAGUCAUCAUGCCCCUUAUGUCCAGGGCUUCACGCAUGCUACAAUGGCUGGUACAGAGAGUGGCGAGCCUGUGAGGGUGAGCGAAUCUCGGAAAGCCGGUCUCAGUUCGGAUUGGGGUCUGCAACUCGACCUCAUGAAGUCGGAGUCGCUAGUAAUCGCAGAUCAGCAACGCUGCGGUGAAUACGUCCCCGGGGCU